AGAGUUUGAUCCUGGCUCAGAACGAACGCUGGCGGCGUGCUUAACACAUGCAAGUCGAACGCGAAAAGUUUUCUUCGGAAGACGAGUAGAGUGGCGCACGGGUGAGUAACGCGUAAGUAAUCUACCCCGGCAUCUGGAAUAACUCACCGAAAGGUGUGCUAAUACCGGAUACGUUGGUAACAAGAAAGGUGGCCUCUGCAUAUGCUACCGUGCUGGGAUGAGCUUGCGUACCAUUAGCUAGUUGGUAGGGUAAWGGCCUACCAAGGCGACGAUGGUUAGCGGGUCUGAGAGGAUGAUCCGCCACACUGGAACUGGAACACGGACCAGACUCCUACGGGAGGCAGCAGUGAGGAAUAUUGCGCAAUGGGGGCAACCCUGACGCAGCGACGCCGCGUGGAUGAUGAAGGCCCUUGGGUCGUAAAAUCCUGUCAGAUGGAAAGAAAUGUACAGGUGUUAAUAUCGCCUGUAUUUGACGGUACCAUCAAAGGAAGCACCGGCUAACUCCGUGCCAGCCGCCGCGGUAAUA
Molecule: ribosomal RNA, 526 nt
Filed under: bacterium enrichment culture clone Cont1_3130
Lineage: Bacteria
Description: bacterial SSU rRNA
Rfam family: Bacterial small subunit ribosomal RNA
Source: RNAcentral